This 253-nucleotide ribosomal RNA is filed under the name uncultured bacterium. RNAcentral's name for it is "partial 16S ribosomal RNA". It matches the Rfam family "Bacterial small subunit ribosomal RNA", at positions 524 to 776 of the family's 1533-position model. The record is from RNAcentral.
AACGUAGGAGACAAACGUUAUCCGGAGUUACUGGGCGUAAAGGGCGUGUAGGUGGUUUCGUAAGUCUGGCGUGAAAUUUUUCGGCUUAAGCGGGAAAGGUCGUCGGAUACUGCGGGACUAGAGGACGGUAGAGGCGUGUGGAAUUCCGGGUGUAGUGGUGAAAUGCGUAGAGAUGUGGAGGAACACCGAUGGCGAAGGCAGCCCCCUGGGUUAACACUGACGCUCAGGCACGAAAGCGUGGGGAGCAAACAGG